ACGGAGGGUGCGAGCGUUGUUCGGAAUCACUGGGCGUAAAGGGAGCGCAGGCGGCUUGAUUAGUCAGAUGUGAAAGCCCACGGCUUAACCGUGGAAGUGCAUUUGAAACUGUCAGGCUUGAGUAUCAGAGGGGAAGGUGGAAUUCCCGGUGUAGAGGUGAAAUUCGUAGAUAUCGGGAGGAAUACCGGUGGCGAAGGCGACUUUCUGGCUGAAUACUGACGCUGAGGCUCGAAAGCGUGGGGAGCAAACAGG
RNAcentral lists this ribosomal RNA (252 nucleotides) under uncultured bacterium. Its description in RNAcentral is "partial 16S ribosomal RNA". It matches the Rfam family "Bacterial small subunit ribosomal RNA", at positions 525 to 776 of the family's 1533-position model. The record is from RNAcentral.